RNAcentral lists this ribosomal RNA (253 nucleotides) under uncultured bacterium. RNAcentral describes it as "partial 16S ribosomal RNA". It matches the Rfam family "Bacterial small subunit ribosomal RNA", at positions 524 to 776 of the family's 1533-position model. The record is from RNAcentral.
UACGUAGGUGGCAAGCGUUAUCCGGAAUUAUUGGGCGUAAAGCGCGCGCAGGUGGUUUCUUAAGUCUGAUGUGAAAGCCCAUGGCUCAACCGUGGAGGGUCAUUGGAAACUGGGAGACUUGAGUGCAGAAGAGGAAAGUGGAAUUCCAUGUGUAGCGGUGAAAUGCGUAGAGAUAUGGAGGAACACCAGUGGCGAAGGCGACUUUCUGGUCUGUAACUGACACUGAGGCGCGAAAGCGUGGGGAGCAAACAGG